GGAGAGGUGCCGGAGUGGCCGAACGGGAUUGAUUCGAAAUCAAUUGACGGGGUAACUCGUCCCAGGGUUCGAAUCCCUGCCUCUCCGCCA
RNAcentral lists this transfer RNA (90 nucleotides) under Gammaproteobacteria bacterium. Its description in RNAcentral is "tRNA-Ser". It matches the Rfam family "tRNA". Rfam says of the family: Transfer RNA (tRNA) molecules are approximately 80 nucleotides in length. Lineage: Bacteria; Pseudomonadati; Pseudomonadota; Gammaproteobacteria. The record is from RNAcentral.